RNAcentral lists this ribosomal RNA (301 nucleotides) under uncultured bacterium. Its description in RNAcentral is "partial 16S ribosomal RNA". It matches the Rfam family "Bacterial small subunit ribosomal RNA", at positions 509 to 809 of the family's 1533-position model. The record is from RNAcentral.
CAGUCGCCGCGGGAAUACGAAGGGGGCUAGCGUUGCUCGGAAUGACUGGGCGUAAAGGGAGCGCAGGCGGACAUAUAAGUCCAUCUUAAAAGUGCGGGGCUCAACCCCGUGAGGGGAUGGAAACUGUAUGCCUUGAGUGCAGGAGAGGAAAGGGGAAUUCCCAGUGUAGCGGUGAAAUGCGUAGAUAUUAGGAAGAACACCAGUGGCGAAGGCGACUUUCUGGACGAAAACUGACGCUGAGGCGCGAAAGCCAGGGGAGCAAACAGGAUUAGAUACCCGAGUAGUCCCUGUCUCUUAUACA